RNAcentral lists this ribosomal RNA (466 nucleotides) under uncultured bacterium. Its description in RNAcentral is "partial 16S ribosomal RNA". It matches the Rfam family "Bacterial small subunit ribosomal RNA", at positions 29 to 507 of the family's 1533-position model. The record is from RNAcentral.
ACGAACGCUGGCGGCUUGCUUAACACAUGCAAGUCGAACGGAAAGGCCCUGCUUUUGUGGGGUGCUCGAGUGGCGAACGGGUGAGUAACACGUGAGUAACCUGCCCUUGACUUUGGGAUAACUUCAGGAAACUGGGGCUAAUACCGGAUAGGAGCUCCUGCUGCAUGGUGGGGGUUGGAAAGUUUCGGCGGUUGGGGAUGGACUCGCGGCUUAUCAGCUUGUUGGUGGGGUAGUGGCUUACCAAGGCUUUGACGGGUAGCCGGCCUGAGAGGGUGACCGGCCACAUUGGGACUGAGAUACGGCCCAGACGCCUACGGGAGGCAGCAGUGGGGAAUAUUGCACAAUGGGCGGAAGCCUGAUGCAGCAACGCCGCGUGCGGGAUGACGGCCUUCGGGUUGUAAACCGCUUUCGCCUGUGACGAAGCGUGAGUGACGGUAAUGGGGAAAGAAGCACCGGCUACUACGUG